UCUUUUCCACUCUCGACAUCUCAGCUGUAGAGAUAGGUUUCUCUCUCUUAUUGAGUUUCAGAUCUGUAUGAGGAGUUUCCAUUUGUUGCGGCGGCCUCUAAUUCGCUUGGUGCAGGUCGGGAACGGACUCGCCGGUGAUCUGUCGUAACCACCAUCGCCGGCGUUUGUUUCAUACCAUUUUUUGUAGUAUCGGUAUGUACAGAGUUGUUGCGGAGAGAUGACUAGCUGAAUUAACUUCAUGUAUGUAUAUAUGUAUAGAUGUGCAGAGAGUGUUUUUUUCCCGGUUGGUGAAGUAGUAGAUAUGUAGAGAGAUUUUAGGUAAAUGAUUUAUUUAUGCAUCUUGUCUAUAGCAAAGUUUGUUCCCGCCUUGCAUCAACUGAAUCGGAGACCGCGGUGAAUUUAAAUAUCUACGGAUCGAUCUAAUCUCCGGGAUAUGAGGAUGAAUGCAGUAGAAAAUUUUGCUUAAGCUCUUUUAGUUAUCAACUACCAGUGGCAUCUGGCGUAGCAUGAAGUAGCUUCUGGCCUCCUUAAGAUACAAAAUGUAGAUCCCAAAGGUAAAUUAUGAGUUGUGGUCAAAUAUGCAGUCUGUACAGUAAUUGGAACUGCUUUCAAAUUGAUGUGCAUUUUUUAUUUUAACAUUGCACCCACAAUCUUUUGGAUGCUUUUACGGCAUUGACUGCUGCCAUCUAUGCCUUGUCAUAACUUUGGCUAUAUCCAAAUUGUCAAUUUCUCGAAGUCCCAAUUUAUGUUUUAAAUGUAACUUCGUUUUAAGUUUAGUUUAAAUUAAUCAUUUGCUGUUGAGGUUCUUAAUAGGAAUCCAAUUUCGGUUGAGGGCCAAGAGAUGCACUUAAAGGUCUUCCAACUUCUUGUUCAUUUCUUUUGUGCUCAUCGAAGUGUUUUUGUUACUAAUGAUAAGUUUUAUAUGAGAGGUUAGCCUGUCAGAUUUGUUUGAUUUAGUUAAUGACUGAAUUGAGGAAUUCAUGUUGGAAUUAAAGCCAUUUGUUCAAUUGAGUUGGGAAGGAAAAUUUGUAGGUGUCAUGAACGUUUACAUGUUCUGUUGCAGUAGGUUUGUUGGAGUCACAUAACCAAUGCAAGUCUUGAAGCUGGAUUCAGCAUAUUUUUUUAUAUGGCAAUUCGUAAGAAUCAAUUUCUCUUUAGUUCUCUGUUGCACAUCUUAGUUGACCAAAGUAUCCUUUUUUAUCACUAAUACCUAAAAGAAUUAGGGGUGUCAAAAUGAGCAAAAAUAUAGGUAAUGCGUCUAAUCUGUCCAACAUUUUAUGGGUUGGAUUUAAGAUAAUUUGAAAUUGGGAAAUUUAAUCCAUUUAAAAAAAAAGGGAAAUUUACGUGAGUUGGCAAACUUCUAAUAGUAAUUAUUUAAUACGGGUAUAGUUUCACAUAAUUAUAAUUAAUGGCUGCAGUUUAGUGAAAUUUGUCAUAAUCUUGGGACCCACUAAUUAGAUUUGUAGAAGAAUCAAAAGAUACAAAUCUUCCUUCAAGUUGCUGUUUAUACAAAUUCUUUCUUUUAUCUCUCUUUCUCUUGUUCACUGAUUUUGCUCCUAAAAUCUCUCAACCAUAUUAAUUUUGAAUUUUGAAUGAUUUCUUUCUUCCUCCUAAUCGUGGUUUCUCCCCCCUAAUCGUGCCAUAUCUUUUUUCAGGUAACCGCCCAAUUUUUCAGCAUUCCUUUUCUUUUUAAUUUUUAGGAUUGUAUAUGUUUACAUUUUUCUUUGUAGAUUCAUAAAAUUUCAUCCUCAAUCUUCGAUU
This is a long non-coding RNA of Solanum dulcamara, 1761 nucleotides long. RefSeq lists it as uncharacterized. Lineage: Eukaryota; Viridiplantae; Streptophyta; Magnoliopsida; Solanales; Solanaceae. The record is from RefSeq and is a predicted model, not a curated record. The transcript has 3 exons.